GUUUUAUUCAUUUGUAUUAUUAGACUGAGUUUUAAGCGUGGUUUGUAUGUACGAGGGCUGUUGGUGGGUGUUGGUUUCGAGGCGCGCCUCGAGACCAACGCUCGCCCCGAGACGCCCAGGGGCGCCCCAGCACAAUGCCCACCAAAGCCCCAAAAUCCCAGUGCACAAGGGUGUGUGAGAAUCACUUCAUUGAUGAUCCUUCCGCAGGUUCACCUACGGAAA
This 222-nucleotide unclassified non-coding RNA is filed under the name uncultured fungus. Its description in RNAcentral is "sequence contains ITS1". Lineage: Eukaryota; Fungi. The record is from RNAcentral.